This 82-nucleotide transfer-messenger RNA is filed under the name Micavibrio aeruginosavorus ARL-13. RNAcentral describes it as "transfer-messenger RNA Micav_aerug_ARL13". It matches the Rfam family "Alphaproteobacteria transfer-messenger RNA", at positions 40 to 119 of the family's 355-position model. Rfam says of the family: Bacterial tmRNA, also known as 10Sa RNA or SsrA, is named for its dual tRNA and mRNA-like properties. The record is from RNAcentral. Lineage: Bacteria; Pseudomonadati; Bdellovibrionota; Bdellovibrionia; Bdellovibrionales; Pseudobdellovibrionaceae.
GCCGGGUUCGCCCGGCUAUGAGGCUAAACGCCGUUCGAAAUAAGCGACGUGGACCCGGGGGCAGUGCCCGGCAGCUCCACCA